UACGUAGGGGGCAAGCGUUGUCCGGAAUCAUUGGGCGUAAAGAGCGCGUAGGCGGCCCUGUAAGUCCGCUGUGAAAGUCAAGGGCUCAACCCUUGGAUGCCGGUGGAUACUGCAGGGCUAGAGUCCGGAAGAGGCGAGUGGAAUUCCUGGUGUAGCGGUGAAAUGCGCAGAUAUCAGGAGGAACACCGAUGGCGAAGGCAGGUCUCUGGGCACUUACUGACGCUGAGGAGCGAAAGCGUGGGGAGCGAACAGG
RNAcentral lists this ribosomal RNA (253 nucleotides) under uncultured bacterium. RNAcentral's name for it is "partial 16S ribosomal RNA". It matches the Rfam family "Bacterial small subunit ribosomal RNA", at positions 524 to 776 of the family's 1533-position model. The record is from RNAcentral.